Long non-coding RNA from Macaca fascicularis (crab-eating macaque), 796 nucleotides. The record is from Ensembl. Lineage: Eukaryota; Metazoa; Chordata; Mammalia; Primates; Cercopithecidae.
GAAGUUUGAGUGCUAUUUAUUAUUAUAGCUUAAUUCCUUCUUCAUGUAUACUGAGGAUUAUGCUUAAACUGGAUUUCUAGGAAAAAAAAAUUAUCACCAAAGACCCACUCUUAAGCACCAGCAAGUUAUCCCAUUUCUUUAAUGCAUAAAGUGAUGUUUACUGUGACUUACAGGUUUUUCAUUUGUACUGUUUCCCCAAAUGUUUCUUUUUCUUUAUGUAAAGUUCACGUUUGUCACCUCCAUACCAGGAGGAAAUUUAGUGAGUUACCUACCGUGGACACUGUUUUACAGACUUUAAAAUAAAGAUCCACAUGUACUUUAGCUUAUAGGACAGAUCCCAUAAAUGCAACCUUGACGCAUGGAAGAAAUCUAACCGUCGAAAAAUAAACCCACACCAGGAUCUUCUCGGUUAUCCCGGACCCAGGAAAGAGGGAGCAGGGUCUGGGCAGGCUUCACCCCUGAAGGACAGCUGGACAUCUCGGCCCCACCUGGGAGGAUGCUUUGGACUACUUCUCAGGUUGCCGCCUGACGAUUGGUGGCUGGCCUGGAAGGGAGGGUCCGCAGGAAACGCGACACUGGGGAUGCUGCUCCUAUCACGUGAUGGAAAUUGCCACUCUUUUUUAGAAAGGCGAAAAGAAAAGAAAGAAGGGUCUCUCCAUCCAUCCCUUUCUGACACUUCCCCUGAAUCCCGGUCUGGAAAGGGUAGUAAAAGAGGCGGAGCUGACGCAAGUUGGACAGAAGGAGGUGUUGGGGUGAGGUGGUGGUGUUGAUUGGCUUGUCUCGUUCACUCCCACUG